Molecule: long non-coding RNA, 273 nt
Organism: Mesocricetus auratus (golden hamster)
Lineage: Eukaryota; Metazoa; Chordata; Mammalia; Rodentia; Cricetidae
Exons: 2
Source: RefSeq, a predicted model, not a curated record
GCCAGUUCAGGAUCCUCCGGAAGCCAAAAGGGGUCACCUUCAGCCAGGAGGAGCCAGAGUCUGGCCAAGAGCUGUCUGCGAUGGAGGCAACUCCCCUGCAAGUUCACAAGGCUCUGGUUGGUGGAGGUUUCUGGGGAGACAGUCUCAGAACUGCAGGACUUGGUGGAGGACAUGAGGCUUGUUUGUGAAGACAGAUCCAGAAAGAUGUUGGUGUGAAAAGAUGCAAAAAAUGGGCUGGAGAGGUAUCUCAGUAAAGUGCCUGCCUUGUAAACA